UUACACACCAAAUUAUUCUUAUUUUUAGAAAAUGACAAUGAGACUGCAACAACCUCACACAGAGCACAGGAAAAGAAGUUUACAGGAUGGAUUCCCUCUUUUUUGGGAACUCUUCGAAAGAGAAUCAGAAAGGGGACAAAAGAGAUAAAAAAGACACCAAAGCAUUUGGAUGUCAAAAAUAGAACGUAUCAGAAGAUGCAAAAGGAGAUUACAAAGCUCAAAGGAGACCCAGAAAGAGACAACGAAAAUUAGAAGAGUUUUGCAUACAGCAGUUCUAGAACAUCCUAUUUUAAUAGGAAUAUUUAUUCAAAUUUGUUGUGAUUGUUAUUUAGUUUCCAAUAAAAUUUCGAUAUAUUUUCCCCACA
Molecule: long non-coding RNA, 365 nt
Organism: Sarcophilus harrisii (Tasmanian devil)
Lineage: Eukaryota; Metazoa; Chordata; Mammalia; Dasyuromorphia; Dasyuridae
Exons: 3
Source: RefSeq, a predicted model, not a curated record